Molecule: long non-coding RNA, 292 nt
Organism: Papaver somniferum (opium poppy)
Lineage: Eukaryota; Viridiplantae; Streptophyta; Magnoliopsida; Ranunculales; Papaveraceae
Exons: 3
Source: RefSeq, a predicted model, not a curated record
GUUAGAGAAGAGAAUUAAAAAGAUGGCUGAAAGACUUUUUCUCGAGUGAUGGAAACACGACAAAGCUGGAAACUGGAAAGGAGGUUGUGCUUAGUGGUAGUGUGCAGUGGUGGCGUGGUAUUUGUCAUGGCAAGAGCGGGUGCAGGUUGGAUAGGCUGUCUUGAUUUUGUUUUUGGAAUUCGAAGUUCAGACUACAUAGAUAGGACUAUGGUUUCACUUUAUUGCUUAGUUCGAAUUCUCUCCUUUUAUGUUUGAUUUAACAUUUUCAUUCAGAAUUGGUUACCUUUUUAUG